RNAcentral lists this transfer RNA (74 nucleotides) under bacterium. RNAcentral's name for it is "tRNA-Met". It matches the Rfam family "tRNA". From Rfam's summary of the family: Transfer RNA (tRNA) molecules are approximately 80 nucleotides in length. Their secondary structure includes four short double-helical elements and three loops (D, anti-codon, and T loops). The record is from RNAcentral. RNAcentral also lists the same sequence under 15 other names.
GGCGGUGUAGCUCAGUUGGUUAGAGCAGCGGAAUCAUAAUCCGCGUGUCGGGGGUUCGAGUCCCUCCACCGCUA